UAGACUUGGGUAGAACUGAUGUUGGGACUGGGUAGUUGUGGGGCCAGAACGACUUGGGGGGCGCAGAUGUGGGAUGAGAGCUCCUGCUGCAGGGGCCAAAAUCCCCUGAAUAAGUUUGGCAGCAUUGGCCACAGUAAUUCUCACACAUACUGCGGGUGAGCAGGGGGAGUUCAACAGUCGAAUGACAGAUAUGAACACAAUACAAAUGGUAUUUGUUCUUAAGUUUCAGAAUUUUGGGGUCCAAGCCCUUGUUUUUUGAGCCUCUGGUGAGGAAGAGCUAAGGCAGGAGGUGCCCUGCUGGGGUGUGUGUAGAAAAGAAGGGGGUGAGAAGAGUCUUGGAUCCAGGAUCUAGGGGACAGGCCUAGCUUACAUUGAAUGCUGGAGGAGGCUUCCCCUGGCGAGCUGGUUACAGAGCAAGGUUUGCAGAUGUGGACUCUAAAAUUGUGCCAGCCUGUGCAGACCAUGGUGCUUUGGUUGCAGGCUGCAUUUGCACCAGCAGAGCAGGUGGUCACACUCCCCAGUGUAGUUUGCACCCACAGCUGAGAGCCUCAGCACAAGCAGAAGUGUAGAGGCUGCUUUGUCACUGUGCUGGAAAACGGACCUCAAGCACAGGCCACUGUCACCUUUACUCCCAGAACAGAUGCCUGCCACUUCCCCAGCAGAGAGAGCCCACAGAGACUAUCAGCACUGGGGAUCUGACCAGGAAACCAGAAAUGAGCUUUGUCCUUCCUCCUCCUCCUCCUCCCCCUGCCUGACACCCCCACUCACCCCAAAUGUUCCCUGCUAAGGGAAAGGCCAGGCAGUUACCUUAGGAGCUGAGCCUGGUCGCCUGCUGCCUCUUGCUUUCUUCUUGGGUCUGUGUAUUGUGGGAGUGGAAGGUGGAGUCUCAGAAAAUGGAGAGUGAAUGUGAAAAGGUGAAAGGUAAAUGGAGCUGGUUUAAAGAUUAACUGUAAUCAGCCUCUCCCCUGCCUUCUUGGCACUUAAAAUCUGCACGUUGCCUGACACGCGGCAGAGGAGCCCAGUCUAGGGCAAGUAACAGGGAGAUAGGGCUGCAAAAUGAAUUCAUGCUGGCUGCUGAGGACUCUGAAUGCACUUUUCAUCUUUAGAUCUCAAAGUGCUUUACAAAGAAGUCCCUGGGGUUCAGCCAGGGAUUAGACACAUCAGCAGCAAGGAAACCCAAGAGAAGGGCUGGCAUGCAAGAGAGGUUUCUUUUUUUCACAGGUAAAGACGCACUACACA
Long non-coding RNA from Mauremys mutica (yellowpond turtle), 1239 nucleotides. RefSeq lists it as uncharacterized. The transcript is spliced from 3 exons. The record is from RefSeq and is a predicted model, not a curated record. Lineage: Eukaryota; Metazoa; Chordata; Testudines; Geoemydidae.